GGCCUGAUCAUGGCUCAGGUUGAACGCUGGCGGGAUGCUUUACACACGCAAGUCGAACGGUAGCACGGACUCUGGUCUGGUGGUUGAGUGCGAAAUUGGGUGAGUAAAUAUCGAACGUGCUCGAAGUAUGGAUGAAUCUACGCGAAAGCGUAGCUGGACAUCGCGCAUACGCCCUUUGGGGAAAGUGGGGACCUUCGGGCCUCGCACUAUUAGGAGCGGGCUGAUAUCGGAUUAGCUAGUUGGUGGGGUAACGGCUCACCAAGGCGACGAUCCGUAUCUGGUUUGAGAGGACGACCAGCCACACUGGGACUGGAGACAUUGGCCCAGACUCCUACGGAGGCAGCAGUGGGGAAUUUUGACACAAUGGGGGAAACCCCUGAUCCAGCCAUCCCGCGUGUGCGAUGAAGGCCUUGCUUGUAAAGCACUUUGUGAGGAAAGAACGGCGGACGAUAAUACCGCAACUGACGACGGUACUCGAAUGGCACUGGCUAACUACGCCAGUAAGUCGCGGUAAUACGGCAUAAAAGCGUUAAUCAGGAAUUACUGGGCGUAAAAGUGCGGCGCAGGCGGCCUGGUGUUGCUACGUGAAUCCGUAUAUUAACUUUGAACCGUAUUUUAAUCACCGAGCUAGAGUGUGUCAGAGGGAGGUGGAAUUCCGCGUGUAGCAGUGAAAUGCGUAGAUAUGCAGAGAACACCGAUGGCGAAGGCAGCCUCCUGGGAUAACACUGACGCUCAUGCACGAAAGCGUGGGGAGCAAACAGGAUUAGAUGACCUGGUAGUCCACGCCCAAACGAUGUCAACUAUUGUUAAAGCCUUGGCCCGGUAGCGCAGCUAACGCAGAAGACCGCCUGGGAGUACGGUCGCAAGAUUAAAACCCAAAGGAAUUGACGGGGACCCGCACGCGGGCGCGAAGAUGAUGUGGAUUGACCUGAUGCAACGCGAAAAACCUUACCUACCCUUGACAUGGUCUGGAAUCCCGAAGAGGAUUUUGAGCGUUCGCAGGAGAACCGGAACACAGGUACAGGCUGGUUUGUCAGUCGGGGCCGUGAGAUGUUGGGUUAAGUCCCGCAACGAGCGCAACCCUUGUCAUUAGUUGCUACGAAAGGGCACUCUAAUGAGACUGCCGGGUGACAAACCGGAGGAAGGGUGGGGAUGGACGCCAAGUCCUCAUGGUCUUAUGGGUAGGGCUUCACAUCGUCAUACAAUGGCUGGACAGAGUGGUCGCCAACCCGCGAGGGUGGAGCACGUAAUCCGAAACCUGAUUGACACUGACUGCAGUCUGCAACUCGGGACUGCGUGGAAGUCGGAAUUCGCCAGUAAUCGCGGAUCAGCAUGUCGCGGUGAUUAAUGCCCGGUCUUGCACACACCGCCCGUCACACCAUGGGAGUGGGUUUUACCAGAAGUAGUUAGCCUAACCGUGGGAGGGCGAUUACCACGGUAGGAUUCAUGACUGGGGGUGAAGUCGUAACAAGGUAG
This 1476-nucleotide ribosomal RNA is filed under the name uncultured Bordetella sp. RNAcentral's name for it is "partial 16S-23S ribosomal RNA intergenic spacer". It matches the Rfam family "Bacterial small subunit ribosomal RNA". Lineage: Bacteria; Pseudomonadati; Pseudomonadota; Betaproteobacteria; Burkholderiales; Alcaligenaceae. The record is from RNAcentral.